UUCGUUUCCUCGCUGCACUAGAGUGUUG
RNAcentral lists this small RNA (28 nucleotides) under Bombyx mori (domestic silkworm). RNAcentral's name for it is "ovarian small RNA-37446". The record is from RNAcentral. Lineage: Eukaryota; Metazoa; Arthropoda; Insecta; Lepidoptera; Bombycidae.